RNAcentral lists this ribosomal RNA (1542 nucleotides) under Escherichia coli. RNAcentral's name for it is "bacterial SSU rRNA". It matches the Rfam family "Bacterial small subunit ribosomal RNA". RNAcentral also lists the same sequence under 2 other names. Lineage: Bacteria; Pseudomonadati; Pseudomonadota; Gammaproteobacteria; Enterobacterales; Enterobacteriaceae. The record is from RNAcentral.
AAAUUGAAGAGUUUGAUCAUGGCUCAGAUUGAACGCUGGCGGCAGGCCUAACACAUGCAAGUCGAACGGUAACAGGAAUCAGCUUGCUGAUUCGCUGACGAGUGGCGGACGGGUGAGUAAUGUCUGGGAAACUGCCUGAUGGAGGGGGAUAACUACUGGAAACGGUAGCUAAUACCGCAUAAUGUCGCAAGACCAAAGAGGGGGACCUUCGGGCCUCUUGCCAUCGGAUGUGCCCAGAUGGGAUUAGCUAGUAGGUGGGGUAACGGCUCACCUAGGCGACGAUCCCUAGCUGGUCUGAGAGGAUGACCAGCCACACUGGAACUGAGACACGGUCCAGACUCCUACGGGAGGCAGCAGUGGGGAAUAUUGCACAAUGGGCGCAAGCCUGAUGCAGCCAUGCCGCGUGUAUGAAGAAGGCCUUCGGGUUGUAAAGUACUUUCAGCGGGGAGGAAGGGAGUAAAGUUAAUACCUUUGCUCAUUGACGUUACCCGCAGAAGAAGCACCGGCUAACUCCGUGCCAGCAGCCGCGGUAAUACGGAGGGUGCAAGCGUUAAUCGGAAUUACUGGGCGUAAAGCGCACGCAGGCGGUUUGUUAAGUCAGAUGUGAAAUCCCCGGGCUCAACCUGGGAACUGCAUCUGAUACUGGCAAGCUUGAGUCUCGUAGAGGGGGGUAGAAUUCCAGGUGUAGCGGUGAAAUGCGUAGAGAUCUGGAGGAAUACCGGUGGCGAAGGCGGCCCCCUGGACGAAGACUGACGCUCAGGUGCGAAAGCGUGGGGAGCAAACAGGAUUAGAUACCCUGGUAGUCCACGCCGUAAACGAUGUCGACUUGGAGGUUGUGCCCUUGAGGCGUGGCUUCCGGAGCUAACGCGUUAAGUCGACCGCCUGGGGAGUACGGCCGCAAGGUUAAAACUCAAAUGAAUUGACGGGGGCCCGCACAAGCGGUGGAGCAUGUGGUUUAAUUCGAUGCAACGCGAAGAACCUUACCUGGUCUUGACAUCCACGGAAGUUUUCAGAGAUGAGAAUGUGCCUUCGGGAACCGUGAGACAGGUGCUGCAUGGCUGUCGUCAGCUCGUGUUGUGAAAUGUUGGGUUAAGUCCCGCAACGAGCGCAACCCUUAUCCUUUGUUGCCAGCGGUCCGGCCGGGAACUCAAAGGAGACUGCCAGUGAUAAACUGGAGGAAGGUGGGGAUGACGUCAAGUCAUCAUGGCCCUUACGACCAGGGCUACACACGUGCUACAAUGGCGCAUACAAAGAGAAGCGACCUCGCGAGAGCAAGCGGACCUCAUAAAGUGCGUCGUAGUCCGGAUUGGAGUCUGCAACUCGACUCCAUGAAGUCGGAAUCGCUAGUAAUCGUGGAUCAGAAUGCCACGGUGAAUACGUUCCCGGGCCUUGUACACACCGCCCGUCACACCAUGGGAGUGGGUUGCAAAAGAAGUAGGUAGCUUAACCUUCGGGAGGGCGCUUACCACUUUGUGAUUCAUGACUGGGGUGAAGUCGUAACAAGGUAACCGUAGGGGAACCUGCGGUUGGAUCACCUCCUUA